AGAACGAACGCUGGCGGCAUGCCUAACACAUGCAAGUCGAACGAGACCUUCGGGUCUAGUGGCGCACGGGUGCGUAACGCGUGGGAAUCUGCCCCUUGGUUCGGAAUAACAGUUAGAAAUGACUGCUAAUACCGGAUGACGACGUAAGUCCAAAGAUUUAUCGCCGAGGGAUGAGCCCGCGUAGGAUUAGCUAGUUGGUGAGGUAAUGGCUCACCAAGGCGACGAUCCUUAGCUGGUCUGAGAGGAUGAUCAGCCACACUGGGACUGAGACACGGCCCAGACUCCUACGGGAGGCAGCAGUGGGGAAUAUUGGACAAUGGGCGAAAGCCUGAUCCAGCAAUGCCGCGUGAGUGAUGAAGGCCUUAGGGUUGUAAAGCUCUUUUACCAGGGAUGAUAAUGACAGUACCUGGAGAAUAAGCUCCGGCUAACGUCCGCGCCAGCAGCCGC
Molecule: ribosomal RNA, 447 nt
Filed under: uncultured bacterium
Lineage: Bacteria
Description: SSU rRNA
Rfam family: Bacterial small subunit ribosomal RNA
Source: RNAcentral